This 460-nucleotide ribosomal RNA is filed under the name uncultured bacterium. Its description in RNAcentral is "partial 16S ribosomal RNA". It matches the Rfam family "Bacterial small subunit ribosomal RNA", at positions 338 to 795 of the family's 1533-position model. The record is from RNAcentral.
CCUACGGGUGGCAGCAGUGAGGAAUAUUGGUCAAUGGGCGCGAGCCUGAACCAGCCAAGUCGCGUGAGGGAUGAAGGUUCUAUGGAUCGUAAACCUCUUUUAUAAGGGAAUAAAGUGUGGGACGUGUCCUAUUUUGUAUGUACCUUAUGAAUAAGGAUCGGCUAACUCCGUGCCAGCAGCCGCGGUAAUACGGAGGUUCCGAGCGUUAGCCGGAUGUAUUGGGUUUAAAGGGUGCGGAGGCGGCCUUUUAAGUCAGCGGGGAAAGUCUGUGGUUAAACCAUGGAAUUGCCGUUGAAACUGGGGGGCUUGAGUAUGUUUGAGGCAGGCGGAAUGCGUGGUGUAGCGGUGAAAUGCUUAGAUAUCACGCAGAACCCCGAUUGCGAAGGCAGCCUGCCAAGCCAUGACUGACGCUGAUGCACGAAAGCGUGGGGAUCAAACAGGAUUAGAUACCCUAGUAGUC